RNAcentral lists this ribosomal RNA (459 nucleotides) under uncultured bacterium. RNAcentral describes it as "partial 16S ribosomal RNA". It matches the Rfam family "Bacterial small subunit ribosomal RNA", at positions 338 to 795 of the family's 1533-position model. The record is from RNAcentral.
CCUACGGGAGGCUGCAGUGAGGAAUAUUGGUCAAUGGGCGGAAGCCUGAACCAGCCAAGUAGCGUGCGGGAUGAAGGCCCUACGGGUCGUAAACCGCUUUUGCACGGGGAUAAAACCCUCCACUUGUGGAGGUUUGCAUGUACCGUGUGAAUCAGGGCCGGCUAACUCCGUGCCAGCAGCCGCGGUAAUCCGGAGGGUCCGCGCGUUAUCCGGAUUUAUGGGGGUUAAAGGGAGCGUAGGGGGGUGUUAAAGUCCGCGGGAAGAUCUCGGGGCUAAACCGCGCACGGCAGUUGAAACUGGGAGCCUUGAGUACACAAGAGGCAGGCGGAAUUCGUGGUGUAGCGGUGAAAUGCAUAGAUAUCACGAGGAACCCCGAUUGCGAAGGCAGCCUGCCGGACUGCAACUGACGCUGAGGCUCGAAGGUGCGGGUAGCAAACAGGAUUAGAUACCCGUGUAGUC